ACGCUCGACACCUACGGGAGGUAGCAGUGGGGAAUAUUGCACAAUGGGGGAAACCCUGAUGCAGCGACGCCGCGUGAGCGAAGAAGUAUUUCGGUAUGUAAAGCUCUAUCAGCAGGGAAGAAACUGACGGUACCUGACUAAGAAGCACCGGCUAAAUACGUGCCAGCAGCCACGGUAAUCUGAGCGGGCUGGCAAGGC
RNAcentral lists this ribosomal RNA (198 nucleotides) under uncultured bacterium. Its description in RNAcentral is "partial 16S ribosomal RNA". It matches the Rfam family "Bacterial small subunit ribosomal RNA", at positions 328 to 539 of the family's 1533-position model. The record is from RNAcentral.